Molecule: long non-coding RNA, 293 nt
Organism: Panicum virgatum (switchgrass)
Lineage: Eukaryota; Viridiplantae; Streptophyta; Magnoliopsida; Poales; Poaceae
Exons: 3
Source: RefSeq, a predicted model, not a curated record
GACUAUCGUAGUUCUCUAAGCCCUUCUACGGUGGAGGCAUUGAUAUGCGCAUCUAGCUGGAUUCGAGGUGCACAUGAUGGAACCCGUAGAUAUGUGGAAGAAGAUGAGGAGGAUGACAUCGAGAAUAUUUCAUUUCCAAAAAGCUUUGUAGAGAGUAACUAGCUGGAGAGUGGAGACAUCAGGACAUGGAGCUGGACUUCGCUGUUGCUUGCUGGAUGGUGCCUGGGCGCCUGGCUGCCUGCUUUUGUGGAAUGCUUGGAGCUGGACUUGGUUGUUGCUUGCUGGAUGGUACC